RNAcentral lists this unclassified non-coding RNA (209 nucleotides) under Hevea brasiliensis (rubber tree). Lineage: Eukaryota; Viridiplantae; Streptophyta; Magnoliopsida; Malpighiales; Euphorbiaceae. The record is from RNAcentral.
GGAAUAUCAAGGUCAAGAAGUCCUGCGUGUACGUGCCUUCGGCUCAUCGUUCUUCACCCUUGCAAUAAACAUAAGGAAUGGACGCUUCAUUCUUCACUCAUCCAAGAAUGUUAUAUCAUCAUCAGUAGUUGUUGAGUGUGAAGAGGCCCUAAACCAGGGAAGUAUGUCAGCUGCUGAGGCUUUUAUUAGCUUGAGAAGCAAAAGCAUUU